RNAcentral lists this ribosomal RNA (301 nucleotides) under uncultured bacterium. RNAcentral's name for it is "partial 16S ribosomal RNA". It matches the Rfam family "Bacterial small subunit ribosomal RNA", at positions 509 to 807 of the family's 1533-position model. The record is from RNAcentral.
CAGUAGCCACGGUAAUACAGAGGAUGCAAGCGUUAUCCGGAAUGAUUGGGCGUAAAGCGUCUGUAGGUGGCUUUUCAAGUCCGCCGUCAAAUCCCAGGGCUCAACCCUGGACAGGCGGUGGAAACUACCAAGCUGGAGUAUGGUAGGGGCAGAGAGAAUUUCCGGUGGAGCGGUGAGAUGCGUUGAGAUCGGAAAGAACACCAACGGCGAAAGCACUCUGCUGGGCCGACACUGACACUGAGAGACGAAAGCUAGGGGAGCAAAUGGGAUUAGAUACCCGUGUAGUCCCUGUCUCUUAUAC